AUCGAGGAAUUGGAGAAUGAAUUAGAGGAGUCGAGAAAGAAGUGUGCCAGACUUUCUUCUCACUUGGAAAGCCAGAGAAUGCAAAUGCUUACAGGACAACGAUCAUAACAUCAGGUGGUGACGGCAUUCAUGAAAUGGUACGUUAUUUUGACCAUGUUUGGCUAAGCUCAAAAGUAGCUUCUUUGGAGUAUGUAGUCUUUAUGGCUUCUUUGAGAAGUUGUAGGCAUGCAUAUUUGGUCAACUGCAAAUUUUAUGAUUAUAUCAUAUGAAGCUCGCGUUUCUCCUCACCAUCUCGACACCCCUGUGCACGUACAAAUGAAGUUUAGUAUGUUCUAUACAUGCUUGUCGAUUAACAAAAUGGCAUGUCAUUAUUGUUUAGCACGGUGCAAAGUAGAUCAUUUCUCUUACGUUGUACAUUAAGAUUUCACAUGCUGUACUAACUUGUUGAGGGGAGAUGGAACACUGGUCAUCAUACAAAUAUAUCCAUCUUGAAAGGAGUUGUCGAUGGACGUUAAUCGAUCUGAAGUGAUGGUUGAUUAUGUUGAAGUACCCUACGANNN
RNAcentral lists this long non-coding RNA (560 nucleotides) under Olea europaea (common olive). RNAcentral's name for it is "long non-coding RNA (OEUR_LNC008968)". The record is from RNAcentral. Lineage: Eukaryota; Viridiplantae; Streptophyta; Magnoliopsida; Lamiales; Oleaceae.